AACGAACGCUGGCGGCAUGCCUAACACAUGCAAGUCGAACGAGACCUUCGGGUCUAGUGGCGCACGGGUGCGUAACGCGUGGGAACCUGCCCUUAGGUUCGGAAUAACUCCCCGAAAGGGGUGCUAAUACCGGAUAAUGUCUUCGGACCAAAGAUUUAUCGUCCUUGGAUGGGCCCGCGUUGGAUUAGCUAGUUGGUAGGGUAAAAGCCUACCAAGGCGACGAUCCAUAGCUGGGCUGAGAGGAUGAGCAGCCACACUGGGACUGAGACACGGCCCAGACUCCUACGGGAGGCAGCAGUGGGGAAUAUUGGACAAUGGGCGAAAGCCUGAUCCAGCAAUGCCGCGUGAGUGAUGAAGGCCUUAGGGUUGUAAAGCUCUUUUACCCGGGAUGAUAAUGACAGUACCGGGAGAAUAAGCUCCGGCUAACUCCGUG
Molecule: ribosomal RNA, 433 nt
Filed under: uncultured bacterium
Lineage: Bacteria
Description: partial 16S ribosomal RNA
Rfam family: Bacterial small subunit ribosomal RNA
Source: RNAcentral